Molecule: ribosomal RNA, 791 nt
Filed under: uncultured archaeon
Lineage: Archaea
Description: bacterial SSU rRNA
Rfam family: Archaeal small subunit ribosomal RNA
Source: RNAcentral
ACAGCUCAGUAACACGUGGAUAACAUGCCCUAAGGUGGGGGAUAAUCUCGGGAAACUGAGGAUAAUACCCCAUAGGUCUUCUCUGCUGGAAUGCUUGAAGGCCGAAAACUCCGGUGCCUUAGGAUUGGUCUGCGGCCUAUCAGGUUGUAGUGGGUGUAAUGGACCCACUAGCCCGUGACGGGUAUGGGCCUUGAGAGAGGGAGCCCAGAGAUGGACUCUGAGACAUGAGUCCAGGCCCUACGGGGCGCAGCAGUCGCGAAAACUUCGCAAUGGGGGCAACCCCGACGAGGGAAUUCCAAGUGCCAGCACUUUGUGUUGGCUGUUCUCCUGUCUAAAAAACGGGAGGAGUAAGGGGCGGGUAAGACGGGUGCCAGCCGCCGCGGUAAUACCCGCGCCCCUAGUGGUGGUCGAUAUUAUUGAGCCUAAAACGUCCGUAGCCGGUCUUUUAAAUCUUUGGGCAAAUCGGGCAGCUUAACUGUCCGACUUCCGAGGAGACUGGAAGACUUGGGACCGGGAGAGGUCAGAGGUACUUCUGGGGUAGGGGUAAAAUCCUGUAAUCCUGGAAGGACCACCGGUGGCGAAGGCGUCUGACUAGAACGGAUCCGACGGUGAGGGACGGAGCCCUGGGGCGCAAACGGGAUUAGAUACCCCGGUAGUCCAGGGUGUAAACGCUGCGGGCUUGGUGUUGGGGGUCCUUCGUGGGCGCCCAGUGCCGGAGAGAAGUUGUUAAGCCUGCUGCUUGGGGAGUAUGUCCGCAAGGAUGAAACUUAAAGGAAUUGGCGGGGGAGCAC